RNAcentral lists this ribosomal RNA (309 nucleotides) under Triticum aestivum (bread wheat). RNAcentral describes it as "partial small subunit ribosomal RNA". Lineage: Eukaryota; Viridiplantae; Streptophyta; Magnoliopsida; Poales; Poaceae. The record is from RNAcentral.
AAAACUAGUGGGUGGAAAGAGAAAUUACUGUCUACCGGGGGGAAGGAGAUCCUGCUCAAAGCUGUGAACCAAGCCAUACCUACAUAUACAAUGUCGGUCUUUAAAAUUCCUAAAAAAAGUUAUAAAGGAAUCAUUGACGCGACUAGGCAUUUCUCGUGGGGAGACGAGGAGAACCAGACGAGGAUGCAUUGGAUGUCCUAGUCAAAAAUGUUCGUACCUAAAAACCAAGGAGGGAUGAGAUUUCGUGAUAUUCAUUGUUUCAACUUGGCACUGCUAGCCAAACUGAUGGGCUACUAUCCUAAGGGAUAA